AGUCGAGGGGUAACAGGGAGUGCUUGCACUCUGCUGACGACCGGCGCACGGGUGCGUAACGCGUAUGCAACCUACCUUUUACAGGGGGAUAGUCAAGAGAAAUUUUGAAUAAUACCCCAUACGAUCCUGAUAUCACCUGAUAUUUGGAAGAAAACUUCGGUGGUAAAAGAUGGGCAUGCGUCCUAUUAGUUAGUUGGUGAGGUAACGGCUCACCAAGACAGCGAUAGGUAGGGGUCCUGAGAGGGAGAUCCCCCACACUGGUACUGAGACACGGACCAGACUCCUACGGGAGGCAGCAGUGAGGAAUAUUGGACAAUGGAGGCAACUCUGAUCCAGCCAUGCCGCGUGCAGGAAGACUGCCCUAUGGGUUGUAAACUGCUUUUAUACAGGAAGAAACCUACUUACGUGUAAGUAGCUGACGGUACUGUACGAAUAAGGAUCGGCUAACUCCGUGCCAGCAGCCGCGGUAAUACGGAGGAUCCAAGCGUUAUCCGGAAUUAUUGGGUUUAAAGGGUCCGUAGGUGGUUUGCUAAGUCAGAGGUGAAAUCCUACCGCUUAACGGUAGCACUGCCUUUGAUACUGGCAAGCUUGAGUUAUUGUGAAGUAGUUAGAAUGUGUAGUGUAGCGGUGAAAUGCAUAGAUAUUACACAGAAUACCGAUUGCGAAGGCAGAUUACUAACAAUAUACUGACACUGAGGGACGAAAGCGUGGGUAGCGAACAGGAUUAGAUACCCUGGUAGUCCACGCCGUAAACGAUGGUCACUAGCUGUUUGACUAACAUUGGUUAGUUGAGUGGCUAAGCGAAAGUGAUAAGUGACCCACCUGGGGAGUACGCUCGCAAGAGUGA
RNAcentral lists this ribosomal RNA (847 nucleotides) under uncultured marine bacterium. RNAcentral's name for it is "bacterial SSU rRNA". It matches the Rfam family "Bacterial small subunit ribosomal RNA", at positions 60 to 897 of the family's 1533-position model. The record is from RNAcentral.